AUGCAGUCGAACGGUAAGGCCCUUUCGGGGGUACACGAGUGGCGAACGGGUGAGUAACACGUGGGUAAUCUGCCCUGCACUUCGGGAUAAGCCUGGGAAACCGGGUCUAAUACCGGAUAUGAAUUCCUGCCGCAUGGUGGGGGUUGGAAAGUUUUUCGGUGCAGGAUGAGCCCGCGGCCUAUCAGCUUGUUGGUGGGGUAAUGGCCUACCAAGGCGACGACGGGUAGCCGGCCUGAGAGGGUGAUCGGCCACACUGGGACUGAGACACGGCCCAGACUCCUACGGGAGGCAGCAGUGGGGAAUAUUGCACAAUGGGCGGAAGCCUGAUGCAGCGACGCCGCGUGGGGGAUGACGGUCUUCGGAUUGUAAACCCCUUUCAGUAGGGACGAAGCGCAAGUGACGGUACCUGCAGAAGAAGCACCGGCUAACUACGUGCCAGCAGCCGCGGUAAUACGUAGGGUGCGAGCGUUGUCCGGAAUUACUGGGCGUAAAGAGCUCGUAGGCGGUUUGUCACGUCGUCUGUGAAAUCCCUCGGCUUAACCGGGGGCGUGCAGGCGAUACGGGCUGACUUGAGUACUACAGGGGAGACUGGAAUUCCUGGUGUAGCGGUGAAAUGCGCAGAUAUCAGGAGGAACACCGGUGGCGAAGGCGGGUCUCUGGGUAGUAACUGACGCUGAGGA
This 680-nucleotide ribosomal RNA is filed under the name Dietzia maris. RNAcentral describes it as "bacterial SSU rRNA". It matches the Rfam family "Bacterial small subunit ribosomal RNA", at positions 55 to 752 of the family's 1533-position model. The record is from RNAcentral. Lineage: Bacteria; Bacillati; Actinomycetota; Actinomycetes; Mycobacteriales; Dietziaceae.